Long non-coding RNA from Dromaius novaehollandiae (emu), 1528 nucleotides. RefSeq lists it as uncharacterized. The transcript is spliced from 3 exons. The record is from RefSeq and is a predicted model, not a curated record. Lineage: Eukaryota; Metazoa; Chordata; Aves; Casuariiformes; Dromaiidae.
UUGGGAAGCCUUUCUGGUGAUUUCAGCUGACUUUGAACCAGGCUCUUGGCUUGCUGCAGAAGGCAAAAUCAGAGCCGUGCUGUGGGCAUGUGGCCUUGCAGCCCAUCUGGCCAACCGGGGUGCAGUGGGACGUGUCUCACUGGCAGCCCCAUGCUGCCAGAGAGGACGGUGACAGUCCCUCUCUGGGUCUGUGGCCCUAGCUGCUGUACUUCACAUCCUUCCUCCAUGUCUCUCAUCCUCAGCCCUGAGCCCCUCUACACUCCAGAGGAGAGCUGGCCUGCUAGAGCCAUCUACCAGGUCCUGGGCAACGCAAGUGCCUUGUGCAAAGCAAGAGUGAAGUCUCUCGAAGGUUACAGUGUGACUUCAGCCUCAGAUCAUCUGCGGCAACUCCGCUGAAAACUGCCAUGAGACUCGCUCUUCUUUAGCUAAUCUCUGGGGAGCUGAUGAACUGUGCCUUACAAGAGGACACAUGAACCAAGUGUCGCACAAAAAUUAAUUGCACCUUCCUACUGAUGGCCUUUUGUCUGCACAUUCUGCCAGCAUCAAUGAGACAAGUCAAGAUGAGCCAUUCAAUUCAGAGCGAGAGACAGAGAGCUGUUUGCAAACGAAGCUUUCAAUCUUCAUUCAUGGAAAGGGCCAUAUUCCCAUGUAAGUGAAACACAAAAGUUUGGGGUCCAGCAAACUGAUGAUGUAGACCCAGCCAGGAAACUGUUUUUUUUCCAUAAAAAUCCCUUCCCUCUUCCUUGCAUAUGUCAAUAAGACAAUAAUGAGGUUUUGCGGCAAAAUUUUUCCAUCCUCUCUGGUCAGAAUUUCAGGUGCGGAUGCAGUGCCCCACACCAUCUGUGGAACCUUCUGCUACAAAAUUUUCUGAAUAAGAUGUGCAUCCUCUCGGUUUUGUAAGAUUUUCAGCCCUCCAAGCCCAGUCUGGAUGAUGUUUGGCACUCUCUCAGCCUCUCCUUAUUGGAAUCAGGGUCAGCAGGCUUGAGCUGAGUAUGGUCACACUUCACUUUCACCUUCCCUAGAGGAGGUCUGACCCACCUUGGCUUUGCAAAACACCCAGCUUUUUAAAGGAAUCUGUUGCUAAUAAAUUCAUUCAUCCCCAUGGCAGUUACUUUGCAGAGCUGGGCACUAUCUUUCAUCUGUUCUUUGAGCCCACCAGCAAAGAACAUAGUCCCUCCUAAAGCAAACACGUUUCAGUGUGGAUACCAAGCAGAUGAAACAGCAGACUUUAUUGGCAUGGAUGAGGUUAUUGCUUGAGAAAAGAUUGCAGGACUGGACCCCUAAGGAGUGAAAUCAGAGUAGAAGAAGAAGCUGACAGGAUGUUAUGUGUAUUCUGCAAUUCCACUGUGUCCACUACCUGCUAUAUGGCCUGCUUAUAUUUUGCCCUUGCUUUUUUAUUAAACAAUCCAUAUGUUUUCAGCUCAGAAAUAGGUUUCUUUUGAAGUUUAAAAGCAGUUAGGUCAUAGCUGAAACAGCUGUUCAAGAACCACCCAGGCAAGAAGUGAUUUGCGGAGCUGCAUUUUCAGUG